Long non-coding RNA from Zeugodacus cucurbitae (melon fly), 2418 nucleotides. RefSeq lists it as uncharacterized. The record is from RefSeq and is a predicted model, not a curated record. NCBI's taxonomy places the organism in Eukaryota, Metazoa, Arthropoda, Insecta, Diptera, Tephritidae. The transcript is spliced from 3 exons.
AAUAUAUUCGACUGAUCACUAAAGACUACAAAGCUAUAAAACCAAUCUUAAUUGUUGUGACACAAAGAGGUUAUCAAUUUGAAUGCUGCCACUGUCAUUAUAACGAUAACAUUCUUAUCUAUUAGCUUGACUAACCCGUGUAAAUUUGUCCGAGUCAAAUAGGGAUUAACUCUAAGGAAAUCUGAAAGAAGAAGUUGCGUCAGCGAGAGUGAGUCUACAGUGGGUAAGCGUCUAUAGCUCAGUCAUUGCAAGAGUGGUGAAGAUAAAGGUUGCAAUUAUGCACAUUAAGUGUAGACGUUGCGGUUUCUUCGAAGUACAUAUAACGCACCAGUGUAUCACAACAAGAAUUAAUUUGAUUUCUAUAAUUAACGAUGACUUUAGUGUUCGACUGGAUCGCUUCCAAGAUAUUUGUGGUUAAUACUGCUUCAAUAAUGAACAUUGAUACAUUUGAGAACAUUGAAGAUACAGAAGAACUUCAAAAACACAAAAACAACGGACAAGAAUCACAAAAUGCAUUGGAGCUCAUAAAGUGUAUUGUUAUAUGAUGUGUGGAACUGAUCACAGUUAGACCCUGACUAAUAGAUAGAAUCCUUUGAAGCAAAAUUCAGAAGGUAAAGCUUCUGUAUAGAAUUGCAAUUAGAGGAACGUUCGUGGGAAAUAGUGCAGAAUAAUGUGACAAAUUUUAAUUAUAGCAAACCGAAAGUUCUACCUUAGAUCCCUAUCAACAAUAUAAACAAGAAAUACCUGGAAAAUGGACAGAAGCUGAAGGAGAAAUGGGAAAGAUGUGUAGAAACACCAAAAAAAAAAAAGUAUAAAAGUUUCCACAAAAAGGGGAUUGAAGUCUAUAAUUCGUGAGAAUAUAUAAUUUUAUAUAAAUAAACAUCCACUGCGGAUAUAUUGCUUCAAAGCGCAACAACAUUUAGGGAGGGCAUGAUCCACUCCCAUAAUCGAGCGGCGAUACUAGCCAUGAGUACGCUGACUAUGCGGUUGGUUAAGGAAUGCUUAUCUUCACUAUCAGUGGCAUACUUAUACUUUUCGAUUAGAUUGAUCGGGGUUCCUGGCGCCAGCAGAAUCGCGAGAAAUUGCAUGGAAACAUGUAGGAGGACCGUUGUGCUAUUGCUGUUUACUACUGAACAGAUGGACCUCGGCUAAGCUGAACGACAGUCACUAGCACUUGCGCAGUCGCCAGAUUCUUCUGGCUCGGAGGUCUACCGAGCUCUUCGUCCUCAGUAAAGUUUACCUAUCCUUAAUUGUAGUGGCUUUUACCUGCCUUUGCCCCAGGACGAGUUGGAAUCAUCUCAUCACUUUCUUCUUGAAUGGUCUUUUCCACGCCUUUUCGAGAUCAAGAAAAAAAUUUCGCGGAUCUCACUUUUUCGAACAAAUUCGCGAAAUAGCAAAUAUAUAAGUGAAAAAUCGCAGAAUAUUUGUAGUACGUUAAGGGCGCUUUGUGGACUCCUAGUUGCUAAUUUAGGGGCGAUCCUCUCUUCACAAAGGAGUGUCUUUUAUAGUCUACGUGUGUUUUACUUUGGUAAACAGCCUUACAACUUAACUUAACCUAGUCUGAAUAUUCAAAAAAACUUUAUUCUUUUACUUUCAAGAACAUUAGAGCAGGCCGAAGUGUCUAAGAUUUCAGUCCGAUAGAGAAUCAUCAGAUGAAAAGAUAAGAUAAUGUAGGGUACACCAUAUUUUACGACAGAACGAACUUUGUUUAGGAAAUCCCAUUUCCGAUCUCCAAAUCGACAACCUAUCUCAGACGACGUAUUCUCGAUUUGUUUUCGUUAAAUUUUACAAAUUACUUAUGCAUAUUUGUUUUUGAAUAAUAGACAAUUAUUAAUUUAAAAUACAAAUACUAAAAAAAACGUUUUCAAAUGCAAUAAAUCAUUUAGUCAAUAGCAAUAAACACAUAAAAAUAUGAAUAAAAUAAUAUAACAUUACUAUACUAUAAAAUAACAAAUACAUAUAUAUAUGUUUAUAGUAGAGUUACAGUGACUGCACUUACCGUGUAAUAUCCUCAGUGCUGACGGCACGUGGCGUUCCGGGUGGCACAGCGGCCAAUACAUUCGAUGACGCAUACCUAGAUGCUGGUUCUAUAAUUUGUGUAAUUAUCAAAAACCACAGCGCGGAAAUUGUACACAACACGCACACACAAACAUUGCAUUACACGAUGGCAUUUUUUUUUUGUAUAACAGUAUAUACAUUUGUACGUAUGAUUUAUGUAUUAACAUUGUUUUAGAGAUACAUUUUGGUUGGUCAACAAAUGAGUUUGCAAAGAUACGGGAAUGAGAAGAGUAAAAGAAUUAAUGUGUUUUGGAAUUAUUUUCUUUUUUCUUUUCUUUUUUGAAUAUAAAGAAAAAUAAUAAGUAGCAUAUUGACAAAAAAAACAUACACAUGUGCAUACAUAAUAAACAUUGUAAAUUU